UGAGGAAUAUUGGUCAAUGGACGAGAGUCUGAACCAGCCAAGUAGCGUGAAGGAUGACUGCCCUAUGGGUUGUAAACUUCUUUUAUACGGGAAUAAAGUGAGGCACGUGUGCCUUUUUGUAUGUACCGUAUGAAUAAGGAUCGGCUAACUCCGUGCCAGCAGCCGCGGUAAUACGGAGGAUCCGAGCGUUAUCCGGAUUUAUUGGGUUUAAAGGGAGCGUAGGCGGACGCGUAAGUCAGUUGUGAAAGUUUGCGGCUCAACCGUAAAAUUGCAGUUGAUACUGGGUGGCUGGAGUACAGUAGAGGCAGGCGGAAUUCGUGGUGUAGCUGUGAAAUGCUUAGAUAUCACGAAGAACUCCGAUUGCGAAGGCAGCUUGCUGGACUGUAACUGACGCUGAUGCUCGAAAGUGUGGGUAUCAAACA
RNAcentral lists this ribosomal RNA (422 nucleotides) under uncultured prokaryote. RNAcentral describes it as "bacterial SSU rRNA". It matches the Rfam family "Bacterial small subunit ribosomal RNA", at positions 355 to 774 of the family's 1533-position model. The record is from RNAcentral.